Molecule: non-coding RNA, 890 nt
Organism: Pelodiscus sinensis (Chinese soft-shelled turtle)
Lineage: Eukaryota; Metazoa; Chordata; Testudines; Trionychidae
Source: RefSeq, a predicted model, not a curated record
GCUAGGCAAAAAUCUCCAAUCAGCAGUGUGAGAAUACACCAAGACCUGAGUGGAGCACCCACAGGAACACCACUCGAGGGAGAACAAAGAAGCUCCUAAUGAAGCCUAAUUAGCUCUAUCUGUGAAGAGGGGGAGAGGAGGUCAUAUAGAGGAUCCUCAAGGGAUCCAUUCUGAAGCACUCGGAAGAGACAAAAGUGAUCAGGAAGAGUCAACAUGGAGUCAUCGAGGACAAUCAUGCGUGACCAACCUGACUGCCUUCUAUGACAAGAGCUGAGGACUGCAGAGCCCACCCCUGCAUCCUGCCUGGCCUGUUGCGCCAGCGCGUAGUGUGCCGUAAAGGUGUGGAGUGAAGACCACAUGGCCGCCCUGCAAAUUUCGGUGAUUGGAACCUGCGCCCCAAAUGCAACAGAGGACGCCUGCGCCCUGGUAGAGUGUGCUGUAACCUGGGGUGGGACCUUCCCGGCCAGGGUGUAACACUCCCUAAUGCACCCUGAGACACAGUUGGACAACCUCUGGGUUGAAAUGGGGAGCCCUUUCACCCUGUCCGCGACAGCAAUAAACAGCUGCUGAGACCUGCAAAAGGGUUUGGUCCUAUCAAUAUAAAAAGCUAGCGCACGCCUAGCAUCCAGGGUAUGGAGCACCUGCUCCUUGGGUGAGGCAUGGGGUUUUGGAAAGAAAACCAGGAGAUAGAUUUCCUGAGACAAAUGAAAAGGUGAUACCACCUUGGGGAGAAAAGCUGGAUGGGGGUGGAGCCUCACGUUAUUGUCAGAAAACACCAGGUAGGGCGGAUUUAUAGUCAACGCCCUCAAUUCGGAAACUCUGCGAGCCGACGUAAUGGCCACAAUGAAUGCAACCUUCCAGGAGAGGUGCUUCAAAGAACACGUAGCCAG